RNAcentral lists this ribosomal RNA (467 nucleotides) under uncultured bacterium. RNAcentral's name for it is "partial 16S ribosomal RNA". It matches the Rfam family "Bacterial small subunit ribosomal RNA", at positions 28 to 507 of the family's 1533-position model. The record is from RNAcentral.
GACGAACGCUGGCGGCGUGCUUAACACAUGCAAGUCGAACGGAAGGCCCUGCUUUUGUGGGAUGCUCGAGUGGCGAACGGGUGAGUAACACGUGAGUAACCUGCCCUUGACUUUGGGAUAACUUCAGGAAACUGGGGCUAAUACCGGAUAGGAGCUCCUGCUGCAUGGUGGGGGUUGGAAAGUUUCGGCGGUUGGGGAUGGACUCGCGGCUUAUCAGCUUGUUGGUGGGGUAGUGGCUUACCAAGGCUUUGACGGGUAGCCGGCCUGAGAGGGUGACCGGCCACAUUGGGACUGAGAUACGGCCCAGACUCCUACGGGAGGCAGCAGUGGGGAAUAUUGCACAAUGGGCGGAAGCCUGAUGCAGCAACGCCGCGUGCGGGAUGACGGCCUUCGGGUUGUAAACCGCUUUCGCCUGUGACGAAGCGUGAGUGACGGUAAUGGGUAAAGAAGCACCGGCUAACUACGUG